UACGUAGGGGGCAAGCGUUGUCCGGAUUUAUUGGGCGUAAAGAGCGUGUAGGCGGCCAUGUAGGUCCGUUGUGAAAACUCGAGGCUCAACCUCGAGACGCCGAUGGAAACCCUCCAGCUAGAGUCCGGAAGAGGAGAGUGGAAUUCCUGGUGUAGCGGUGAAAUGCGCAGAUAUCAGGAAGAACACCCGUGGCUAAGGCGGCUCUCUAGUACGGUACUGACGCUGAGGUGCGAAAGCGUGGGGAGCAAACAGG
Molecule: ribosomal RNA, 253 nt
Filed under: uncultured bacterium
Lineage: Bacteria
Description: partial 16S ribosomal RNA
Rfam family: Bacterial small subunit ribosomal RNA
Source: RNAcentral